This 614-nucleotide ribosomal RNA is filed under the name Lepadogaster candolii (Connemarra clingfish). RNAcentral describes it as "partial 16S ribosomal RNA". It matches the Rfam family "Bacterial large subunit ribosomal RNA", at positions 1791 to 2614 of the family's 2925-position model. The record is from RNAcentral. Lineage: Eukaryota; Metazoa; Chordata; Actinopteri; Blenniiformes; Gobiesocidae.
AAGCCUCGCCUGUUUACCAAAAACAUCGCCUCCUGCCAACCCCGUAUAGGAGGUCCCGCCUGCCCUGUGACUCUGUGUUUAACGGCCGCGGUAUUUUGACCGUGCAAAGGUAGCGUAAUCACUUGUCUUUUAAAUGGAGACCUGUAUGAAUGGCAAAACGAGGGCUUAGCUGUCUCCCCCUUCUAAUCAGUGAAAUUGACCCCCCCGUGCAGAGGCGGGGAUUAACACAUAAGACGAGAAGACCCUGUGGAGCUUUAAACACAAGACAGGGACAUCGAGAAGCUUUGCUUUAAACAACAAAACUCUUUGUUUACCUCUCUGCUGUUUUUGGUUGGGGCGACCGCGGAGGAAUAACCAUCCCCCGCGAGGACAGGAAGCACUAGCUUCUAUAAGGCAGAACCCCACUUCUAACACACAGAACUUCUGACCACAUGAUCCGGCAUAGCCGAUCAACGGACCAAGUUACCCCAGGGAUAACAGCGCAAUCCUCUUCCAGAGCCCAUAUCGACAAGGGGGUUUACGACCUCGAUGUUGGAUCAGGACAUCCUAAUGGUGCAGCCGCUAUUAAGGGCUCGUUUGUUCAACGAUUAAAGUCCUACGUGAUCUGAGUUCAG